UUUAAGGUACAGACUUUGAG
RNAcentral lists this microRNA (20 nucleotides) under Drosophila pseudoobscura pseudoobscura. Its description in RNAcentral is "mir-2509-RA". Lineage: Eukaryota; Metazoa; Arthropoda; Insecta; Diptera; Drosophilidae. The record is from RNAcentral.